AGAGUUUGAUCCUGGCUCAGAACGAACGCUAGCGGCGUGGAUAAGACAUGCAAGUCGAACGGGAUCAAGUUUGUAGUAAUACAGACUUGGUUCAGUGGCGCACGGGUGCGUAACACGUGAGCAAUCUGCCGGGAAGUGGGGGAUAGCUCGCCGAAAGGCGAAUUAAUACCGCAUGUGGCCAUCCUUCGAGUGGAGGAAAAGCCAAAGCAGCAAUGCGCUUCCUGAUGAGCUCGCGGCCUAUCAGCUCGAUGGCGGGGUAAUGGCCCACCAUGGCUUUGACGGGUAGCUGGUCUGAGAGGACGACCAGCCACACUGGAACUGAGACACGGUCCAGACACCUACGGGUGGCAGCAGUCGAGAAUUUUUCACAAUGGGGGAAACCCUGAUGGAGCGACGCCGCGUGGAGGAUGAAGGCCUUCGGGUUGUAAACUCCUGUCAUGCGGGAACAAGCAAGUGAUAGUACCGCAAGAGGAAGAGACGGCUAACUCUGUGCCAGCAGCCGCGGUAAUACAGAGGUCUCAAGCGUUGUUCGGAUUCAUUGGGCGUAAAGGGUGCGUAGGUGGUGAUGCAAGUCUGGUGUGAAAUCUCGGAGCUCAACUCCGAAAUUGCACCGGAUACUGCGUGACUCGAGGACUGUAGAGGAGAUCGGAAUUCACGGUGUAGCAGUGAAAUGCGUAGAUAUCGUGAGGAAGACCAGUUGCGAAGGCGGAUCUCUGGGCAGUUCCUGACACUGAGGCACGAAGGCCAGGGGAGCAAACGGGAUUAGAUACCCUAGUAGUCC
This 781-nucleotide ribosomal RNA is filed under the name uncultured bacterium. RNAcentral's name for it is "bacterial SSU rRNA". It matches the Rfam family "Bacterial small subunit ribosomal RNA", at positions 8 to 796 of the family's 1533-position model. The record is from RNAcentral.